RNAcentral lists this unclassified non-coding RNA (305 nucleotides) under plant metagenome. RNAcentral describes it as "partial contains small subunit ribosomal RNA and internal transcribed spacer 1". The stretch from base 1 to 46 matches the Rfam family "Eukaryotic small subunit ribosomal RNA", at positions 1786 to 1831 of the family's 1831-position model. The record is from RNAcentral.
AAGUCGUAACAAGGUUUCCGUAGGUGAACCUGCGGAAGGAUCAUUAAAAGAGAUCGUUUCUUUGGUGUAAAAGCUAGAGAAAUCCUCCAACCCCUUGUCUAUCAAAACAAAAUUUGUUGCUUCGCAGCGAUGAAACUGAAAAAUUGAAUUUUUAAAUUUAAAUUUACUUUGCUGCGCUUCUCAAUUUAAAUUCUUUUUCCUUUUCUUUUCGCCAGAAGAAAUUAAAUCAAACUCUGAAUUUAAACAAUUGUCUGAAUUAAAUUUUAUAAAAAAUUUGGCUUCAUAACCAUUAAAUUAAAAUACAA